This 449-nucleotide ribosomal RNA is filed under the name Bacillus sp. (in: firmicutes). Its description in RNAcentral is "bacterial SSU rRNA". It matches the Rfam family "Bacterial small subunit ribosomal RNA", at positions 554 to 998 of the family's 1533-position model. Lineage: Bacteria; Bacillati; Bacillota; Bacilli; Caryophanales; Bacillaceae. The record is from RNAcentral.
UUGGGCGUAAGCGCGCGCAGGCGGUUUCUUAAGUCUGAUGUGAAAGCCCACGGCUCAACCGUGGAGGGUCAUUGGAAACUGGGGAACUUGAGUGCAGAAGAGAAAAGCGGAAUUCCACGUGUAGCGGUGAAAUGCGUAGAGAUGUGGAGGAACACCAGUGGCGAAGGCGGCUUUUUGGUCUGUAACUGACGCUGAGGCGCGAAAGCGUGGGGAGCAAACAGGAUUAGAUACCCUGGUAGUCCACGCCGUAAACGAUGAGUGCUAAGUGUUAGAGGGUUUCCGCCCUUUAGUGCUGCAGCUAACGCAUUAAGCACUCCGCCUGGGGAGUACGGUCGCAAGACUGAAACUCAAAGGAAUUGACGGGGGCCCGCACAAGCGGUGGAGCAUGUGGUUUUAAUUCGAAAACAACGCGAAGAACCUUACCAGGGUCUUUGACAUCCUCUGAAAAA